Molecule: long non-coding RNA, 1122 nt
Organism: Mytilus californianus (California mussel)
Lineage: Eukaryota; Metazoa; Mollusca; Bivalvia; Mytilida; Mytilidae
Exons: 3
Source: RefSeq, a predicted model, not a curated record
AACACAAAAUAGUUCCUACGCAUGAGUGUAACUUUCAAAAUAUGUAGAAUAUUUAGGUAUUGUUGGUAUCAAAUGAAAGCUGAAUGACUGGUGAUCAUUGAAGAACACUUUUUGACUGAUAAUUUUGAAUAUUAAAAAAACUGCACCAAAUUUUAUAAAGAGGGUACUUUUUGCCUGUAUGUCAGAUCUGAAGUACCUGUUUUGGUACAUCCGAAGUUCCGGGAACCAGUUCUUUCUUAUAUGCCAUUAAAGGUAUGUUGAUUUUUCCAGUACAAGACACCAUAAAGUGUUGCUUUGACAUGCAAUGAUUGUCACUUUAUUUGAACUUGAAACAAAAGAGCUGUGUCUGCUUGAAAUUGAGGAAUUUAACAUAGAAAGCAAUGGGGCCAUGAAUUAGUGGUGUACUUCCUAUUACAGAGAAUCAUCAGAAAUUCAAUUUUUAGAAGUUGUACCUAUUCCAAUGAAAAUAAGUCAUAUUUGAUAUCAUAGAAUGAAAUAAAGUGAUGCUGAAGUCAGUAUAGCAAGUUUGGUUCUGUAUUACAGAGAAUCAUCAGAAAUUCAAUUUUUAGAAGUUGUACCUAUUCCAAUGAAAAUAAGUCAUAUUUGAUAUCAUAGAAUGAAAUAAAGUGAUGCUGAAGUCAGUAUAGCAAGUUUGGUUCUGUUAUAGGUGUAACACCACUAAUUCGGCCCGGCCAGAAAGCACAUACAAGAAAGUAGUACAUAUUUAACACAAAAUAGUUCCUACGCAUGAGUGUAACUUUCAAAAUAUGUAGAAUAUUUAGGUAUUGUUGGUAUCAAAUGAAAGCUGAAUGACUGGUGAUCAUUGAAGAACACUUUUUGACUGAUAAUUUUGAAUAUUAAAAAAACUGCACCAAAUUUUAUAAAGAGGGUACUUUUUGCCUGUAUGUCAGAUCUGAAGUACCUGUUUUGGUACAUCCGAAGUUCCGGGAACCAGUUCUUUCUUAUAUGCCAUUAAAGAUAUGUUGAUUUUUCCAGUACAAGACACCAUAAAGUGUUGCUUUGACAUGCAAUGAUUGUCACUUUAUUUGAACUUGAAACAAAAGAGCUGUGUCUGCUUGAAAUUGAGGAAUUUAACAUAGAAAGCAACGGGGCCAUGAAUUA